CUUCUUUCUGUUGAUCUUCCUGUCACCAUAGGCUACAAAAGACUGUCUGACAGAGUCCAGUUUUCAGGAGAGGUGAGAUGAAGAGUGACAGGGAAAAGGUGGCCUCUGAGAAUCAGAGAAUUAAAUUUAUUGCUGAUUAAAAACAUCUUUGGGCAUGCAUCAGCUAUAUCAGACACACCAUCUUCCUGUGUAUUCUCACCUUAGAAGAGGCUGACCACAGUGAAAGAACUAAUGAAGGCUGCGUACAGACAGGCAGAAGGAUCCCAGGGAUCCCAGCACAGGCCACAGCCACUUCUGCAUCAUCAUCCACCCCUUCUCUGGUUGUCUGGAACACUGCAGGAUGCAAG
This 347-nucleotide long non-coding RNA is filed under the name Gopherus agassizii (Agassiz's desert tortoise). RNAcentral's name for it is "lncRNA (ENSGAGG00000003317.1)". The record is from RNAcentral. Lineage: Eukaryota; Metazoa; Chordata; Testudines; Testudinidae.